Long non-coding RNA from Stegodyphus dumicola, 3246 nucleotides. The record is from RefSeq and is a predicted model, not a curated record. Lineage: Eukaryota; Metazoa; Arthropoda; Arachnida; Araneae; Eresidae.
UUUUAAAUUAUAGUAUCUUGUGGUGAACCAGAGAAUGCUAAAUGCCAACACACUGGUCCUGGGUCUGCUAAGUGUGUUUGUUGUCCUGGUCAUCAUGGUUAUAAAUGUUUGAAUGAUGGAGAAUUUCCAGCAACAGUAUUCUCAACAUCGCUCGUGAUUCCUACAGUUAUUCUUUGCAUAGUUUUGUGGUUUGUACAAGGUAGAGAUGUAUAUAGAAAGAAAACUGAAUACUGAAUUUUAUUUAUACAAUUUAUGCAACUAUUUAUAUAUUUUACUUUGUAACUAAAUGAAAGAGAAAGAGUUUUUAACAUGCUAAAACAAAAGUGUAAUUUUUUUUUUUCACAUUUGAACAAAUUAAAUACUACAGUUGAAAGAAACAUUACAUUUACAUUCCCUAUCAGAAUGAGAAUAAAUUAUACAUCUGAAAGUAAAAUAUCUUUAUUAUUUCACUGUAUUUUUUAACAGUAUGUGGUCUCUUCAUGUUUAGAACUCGACUAACAUUUUAUGACUAAUGUUAUUUUUAUUUAAAAAACGUGCAAGAUAUAAUGUUUGACCAAAAUGGGAAUUAAUUUUGUAUAUAAUAUGGUAUAGGAGCAUCUUUGAUAUCCAAAACUGCUUGAAUUUUUCUUGAAAUGGAAGCAUAGAACUUCUGAAUGAUGUUAGCUAUUUCAUACCAUUUUCUAAUCAGAAACUGCUCCAGUUUGUUGUGGAAUUGAUAGAAGAAAAUGGAAUCUUGAUCUACUUUCCAGCACAGCCCACACUGGUCUAAUGACACUACAUCUGAUGAUUGUGCAAUUUAGAAAAGAUGAGCAACUUCAUGUUAUUGAAAGAUUAAACAAUCUGAAUUGUUGAAUGGGAGUGCUAUCAUCUUGAAAGAUUCAGUUACUCAUUAGAAAUAAUUUCUAUACCUCAGAAUGGAACACAAAUCAUUUAAAAUGGGUUACAUAGUCACUACUAUUUAUUCUUCUUUGUAAGGUCAUAAACUGCAAUAUUUUUGUCCAAAGCAUAACUCAAGCACCACAAUUUAAUGUAGGAUGCAGACAGUUUAGAUUAUGAGCAUAUGUUUGUGUUCUUUCAACUCCCGAAUUGAAUAGUGUGAAGGUUGACUUGUACAAUAUAGUAUUUUCAUACAGUACAUAUUUUCAUUGAUCAGUAUUCCACAUUUUAUGUUCCUGGCACCACCACUACAGUCUCUAUUUUACAUUUAUUUGUGAAACAAAACACAUACUAUACUUAGGUAUCUGCUUAUGCACAAGGUUAUGAGGUGUCUUCUUACCUAUGUCCAUUUAUAUUAUAUGUGUUGAAACUAAGUUGGAUAGAUAUGCAUUAUGCUCAGUAAUCAUCUUUGUCACAAUAGUUUUUCUUUUUGAUGUCAGAAUUAUAUUUAUCAUCCUUUUGGUUUUACGAGUAAGUUUUGCCUUCCUCUGAUAACUGAGUUAUGCAGAUAAUCUUUUGUCAUAAUUAUUGUAUGCUGUCAUGUCUUCAGACACAGCAUCUCAAUAUCUCCAAUAAUUUUCUAAAUGAGGCUAUAGACAGGGCCGGAUUUAGACUUGAUGAGGCCCUAAGCUAUUUGAGAUAUGGAAGCCCUUUCUAAGUCUGUUAUACUAUAUUUAAAAUUUUUUAAAUAUUUAAGCUAUAGCUUGUGUAGCUUAUACAUAAAUCCUGCACUGGUUACAGAUGCACCAUCGAGCCAGGUUCGAAGAAUUUAACCUCUUUGCUACUUGAAAAAGUCAUUCAUUUGUAACUGUUUCAAAACUGCAAAAGAAGUUUGUAAUUUUGCACAACUUUGAGAAUAUAUAUAAAAUAAUCAUAUACAAAACAGUAACUUUAGUACUUUUACUACUUUUAGUUUACUAUGUAAUUGACAGAAACAAAAUUGACUUUUUUAAGUGUAGUGUUUUCAUUAUUUUAGACGGUCUCUGUAUGUCUUUUUAAAUAAAAUAUCUGCAGUUCCAUGCUGACUUAUAUUUCAGGAGAAUUAUGUAUUAAUUUUUCUGUUUAGUGCACAUAUGUAUGUACAGUUCUUUUUAAUUAUAAAAAAAUACCUAAAUUUUCUUUUUUGCAUGGACUUGUAUAGUUAACAUUUUAAGAAUAUCAAUAUAUUUUUAACUGUUAAAUUGAACUGAGAAGGACUAGACUCAGUUUGGGGAUUUUGACUUAACAAAUAUCUAUAUCUGAUUUAUUAAAAAUAUAUUAUGCCACUCAUACAUUAACUACUAAUAUUCUUAGUAACCAAGACAUUAAACUAAUACUGUUAUUGCAGUUAUCAACAAACAAAUGUCAAAUAUAGAUUGAUCAUGGAGGUGGUAAUGCCAUUUUGUUAGGAAUAAAAGUGCCAUAACUGACUCUUCAUCAUUUUAUGUAUAAUUUCGAGAAAGUGCAAUAUGAAAAUAGUCUGAUUAUAUGAUGUAAAUAAGCAAUUUCAAAUAUCUUAUGGCUAUGUUGUUGUUAUUAACAUCACAUGUAUACAAACCUGUUCCCAUCUGUUAAUAUUUUGUUGCAACAAUAUUAUAACUGGAAAAAAUUUAUUACAAAAAAUGUUAAAUUUGAUAAAGCAUCUAAGAAAUCCAGAUUUUGAUAUAAAACUAUUAUAGGACAAUGUAAUUAUAAAUUUUAGUAUUUUUAAAAUCUCAAAUUAGAGUGAACGUAAUUAAAGCAAUAAAUGAAUAAGUUAAAUGCAGUCAAAAAGCACUUUAAAAAAAAAAAAAAAGCUUAAAUUAGCAUCUGAAGGAAAAGGCUGAUUAUUACAAUAUUGAUUGCAAUAUUCAUUCAUUUUUGGCUAACUGAUUUGGGUUUUCUAUCUUCAUGUGACCAAUAUAUGUACUUCCUGUAACUUUGUCAUUUGCUUUUUUAAUAAUUAUAUAAAGCUCUUAUUUAUACAAUAGUUGUGUGGCUUUAUAACUAUUGUCAUUCUGUAAGACAUAAGAUCUUUAAAACUAUAUAUUGCUUAAUGAUUUGAAAGCAAUGCAAGUACUUAAUAAUUAUACCUUUUUUUUUAAUUAUUUCUUUUAUAAGGCAUCUAAUUCUUAUAAUUAAUCAUAUAUUCAAAAGAUAAUUUUAAAAACAUUUGUCCCAUAAUUGUAAUAAAUAAAGAUGUUUCUAAUGCCAUGUACUGUGAUAUAACAUUUGUCAUCAUCAGUCUUCUGAUGAGUCUUGAUUAAGUUGAAAUUUAAGAUAUAUAUAUUUAAUUAAUAUUCAUAUGAAAUAUAAAAUGUGUACUUUUAUUAAAAUUUAUUUUAAAAGAGA